RNAcentral lists this long non-coding RNA (3216 nucleotides) under Daucus carota (carrot). Its description in RNAcentral is "long non-coding RNA (DCAR_LNC001680)". Lineage: Eukaryota; Viridiplantae; Streptophyta; Magnoliopsida; Apiales; Apiaceae. The record is from RNAcentral.
UCCUUUUAAGUCUAUAUAAAAUUUAUUCUAUACCCACCUUCUACUUUCAAACUCCAUAUUCCACCAGAAAGAGUACAUUUUCUAGUUCUUAAAUCACCUCCCCUGCCUUGAAAAGUCCUUCUUUCUAGUCUUUGUGAUCAUGUCCCUACUCACAUGUUCACGGCACAGAGUUGUCGAAAGUGGAGGCUUGCUGUCAAUCUCAGCUAAUGAAUGUGAUCAAGGACGGGACAGAGCUGGCCCUAUUAGCGUCUCAGUUCCGUGUAGAAUCAAUUAACAGGAGCUGGUCCUGCCAUAAGGAGCUAUACAUUCAAGUCGAUAUAACUAUGCACAACUUAUCUUUCUCGUCUGGUACAAAUUAUUAUCCCCUUACCUAACUUUUAUUUCAUUUUUCUUAUGUUUCCUGCGAACUCGGAAAAUCCUUCUUCCGUUCAGUAGCCUAAACGUUAACCUGUCAGGGAAAACACUUAGUGACGGGUUAAUAUGAAGAGUUGAUAGAAAAUAGAAAAAAUAUUUGACACAACUUGUUCCGGAGGUAUUAUUUCUCCUCGUCUUUUUCUCGGCCAUUUCCUGGUUAGUAAAUAUUUAACGGUUUUUCUGUGGUGUGCCCAUGGGCACACACUAAGCGCUAACUUUCAUGAGUAUGAUGCAUUUUUAUUGGUCCUCCAAUCAUAAAUAUGGAUGGCCCCCUGCAUUUGCAUCAAGUCCACCAAUAAAAACCCACCAAACUCAUCAGUUUAUUGUGUGCCCUUGGGCACACAUUAGAAAGACCCAAUAUUUAAUAUGCAAAAAGAUAGAGUUACAUGGAAGAAAUAUGAAGUUAUUUUAGGUGCCAAGUAGUCCAGAAUUAGAAGAUCACAAGCUCUUAUAAAUAAUUUUAGUGCUAUUAUAUAACAAAGAUUUGCCAUGUAAAGAAAUUGCUCAACAUACAGUAGUAAUCUAUAGAAUUAUCAAAGAACUCAUGCAACCUGUAAAUACAAGUUUAUUAUCCAAAAGAAAAAAGAGAUUAAUGUCUCAUAAUUAACGUGGCAUCCUCUGCACGUCCUCCAGCCAUGUCUGAUAUGCUAUCUUUGCUGGUGAAAAUGACUGUCAUGACAUUACUCUCAUCAAUCAAGUCCAUCUAUUUGUUUGAUGUGUUGGAUUUUGGACCAUUCCGCCCCACUUCCCUUCCUGUAUCUUUCUUGUAUUAUCGGACAAUGAGAUAUCUCCAUUGUCGAGAGAAGUAUGGAUAGACUUGAUCUUAUGAGCAACCUUAGAACGAUAAAGAACGCUGUUUUUAGUAGAAAAUAAAUGCCUCAACGUACCGCGAUUUUCAACCUUUCGCCGAGUUUCAUCCAUGAAAGCAUCAGCUCCAUGAGGAACAUCCCACAGCUUGUUGAACCAGCUCUGGACAGCAGACAUGUUUAGCUUUUUGCUAUCAGCAUCGGAUGAUAGAGCAUCAAUGGUUUCCAACCUUUAAUAUCCGAGCUUAUCCCGGUUUUAAUCAAUGCCUCAUCAAUGUUUAGCUUUUUAGUAUCCGAGCUUUAUCCCGGUUUUAAUCCAGGCCGGUUUUUGUGAAAAUGAGUCUUGGAGAGAGUAUUAGGUUUGGAUCCUUGCUGUUACAAUGUGGUACAAAGAAUUUUUAUUAUUUAAGCAUUGCACUUAUCAUAAUGUGAGUUAAGAAAUAGAUGUUCAUGAAAUAUUAAAAGUAAAGUGUUAGAUGUGUCUAACUAAAUGAUAUUACCAAUGUUAGACUUGCCUAUUCGUGAAAAUUAUUCUCUAAGAAAAUAAUACUAAUUUUAUAUAUUAUCAUCUUGCCUACAAAAAUUCCUAUUUGUGAACAAAUAUGAUUUACUUGAUAAAUGAAAAUAUCUAAUUUGAUAAUUACUUCAAGCACCUAAAUUGAUAAUUUCCAACUUGAUAAAUAAUUAUGAAGUACUCUCUCCGUUCCCCACAAUUGUCAUUGGAGGGGGACACGGAGACCAAGAUAAUGUAUAAAAAAUGAGUAAAGUUAGACGAAAAGUGGGUAAAGUGGUGGAUUUAAUAAUAAAUUUGAGAUAUUGGAGGAAAGUAGUGGGUGUAAUAGUAGUUUUUAUUGUUAAAUAUGAGAUAGUGGGGAAGAUAAUGUGUGUAAUGAUGGGAAAAACUUGCUAUUUAUGGUAAUGUAAAUAAAUGAGAGGGACAUCCCAAAAUAAUAACAAUAAAGAAAUAAGAGGGACAGACGGAGUAUUCUAAUUUUAAAUCACCCGCUACCUCUUUACCUAUCUUAUAAAAUCCGUACCCUGAUUUCAAACUCCAUAUUCCACCAGAAAGAGUGCAUUCUCUAGUUUUGAAAUCACCUCCCCUGCCUUGAAAAGUCCUUCUUUCUAGUCUUUGUGCAUGUCCCUACUCACAUGUUCACGGCGUAGCGUUGUCCUUCUUUCUAGGCUUGCUGUCAACCACAGCCAAUGAAUGUGAUCAAGGACGUGACAGAGCUGGCCCUAUUCGCGCCUCAGUUCCUUGUAGGGAGUGAGUAUCAAUUAACAGGAGCAAUGGUGGUCCUCCCAUAAGGAGCUUUACAGUCAAGUAGGCUUCCACGACCCGGUAAAAGGGUAAAGGACAUCAUAUAAUGCACAACUUUUCUUUCUCGUCUGGUACAAUUAUUUAUCCCCUCACCUAACUUCAUUUUCAUUUUAUUUUUUUUAUGUUUCCUUCGUGACUUCUUAUUUAAAAUAAAUUAAAGGAAGUGACUCUUUAUUUAAAUUAAAGAAGUGUAGUAGAAGUGAGAAGUAAAUAAGUUUAUAAAUUGUUUGGAAAAAAAGUAGAAGCUCGGAAGAAAAAGCUAGCAUUCUCAACUUCUUAAAAAUGCUUAUUUACACAAACGGAUCAAGAAAAGCAGAAGACAGAAGCAGCUUCUGCUUCCGCGAAACAAACAGCCACUCUAUCUACAAAAUUUAUUGUAAAAUGUAUCAUUUCCCUUUACUAGCCUCUAUCUACAAAUUUUUUUGUAAAAUGUAUCACAUACACAUGACAUGAGCCCAUCAGGGAAAACACUUAGGCCCCAUUUGUUUAUUGCUUAUUGGUAGCUUAAUGGGAUUAAAUGACCCCUUAAGCUAAUUCAUCUUAUUUGGCAAUUUUUUCCAUAUAACUGAGCGGGCUGAGCGAAACAUAUAUACUGCUGACCCAUUCUUGCUUGAAUUUCUAUCUCAUUAGUUCAGCUAUGUGUAUUAUCAUUAAGUAGUUUCAGGAAAGAAAAUUAAU